GGGGAUUUAGCUCAGUGGUAGAGCGCUUGCCUAGCAAGCACCAGGCCCUGGGUUCAGUCCUCA
RNAcentral lists this transfer RNA (63 nucleotides) under Rattus norvegicus (Norway rat). It matches the Rfam family "tRNA". Rfam says of the family: Transfer RNA (tRNA) molecules are approximately 80 nucleotides in length. Lineage: Eukaryota; Metazoa; Chordata; Mammalia; Rodentia; Muridae. The record is from Rfam by way of RNAcentral.